GAUGAAGAACGUAGCGAAAUGCGAUAAGUAAUGUGAAUUGCAGAAUUCAGUGAAUCAUCGAAUCUUUGAACGCACAUUGCGCCCCUUGGUAUUCCGAGGGGCAUGCCUGUUCGAGCGUCAUUAUAACCCCUCAAGCUCAGCUUGGUGUUGGGGCCUGCUGCACUGGCAGCCCUUAAAACCAGUGGCGGCGCCAUCUGGCUCUAAGCGUAGUAAUUCUUCUCGCUAUGGAGUCCUGGUGGAUGCUUGCCAUCAACCCCCAAUUUUUCUAUGGUUGACCUCGGAUCAGGUAGGGAUACCCGCUGAACUUAAGCAUAUCAUAAGCGGAGGA
Molecule: unclassified non-coding RNA, 328 nt
Filed under: soil metagenome
Description: partial contains 5.8S ribosomal RNA, internal transcribed spacer 2, and large subunit ribosomal RNA
Rfam family: 5.8S ribosomal RNA (bases 1-120)
Source: RNAcentral